This 311-nucleotide ribosomal RNA is filed under the name uncultured bacterium. RNAcentral's name for it is "bacterial SSU rRNA". It matches the Rfam family "Bacterial small subunit ribosomal RNA", at positions 28 to 334 of the family's 1533-position model. The record is from RNAcentral.
GACGAACGCUGGCGGCACGCCUAACACAUGCAAGUCGAACGGUGACGAGGACUUCGGUCCUCUGAUCAGUGGCGGACGGGUGAGUAACACGUGAGCAACCUGCCUUUCAGUGGGGGACAACAGUUGGAAACGACUGCUAAUACCGCAUAAUGUCAUUCUAGGGCAUCCUUAAAUGACCAAAGAUUUAUUGCUGAAAGAUGGGCUCGCGUCUGAUUAGAUAGUUGGUGAGGUAACGGCUCACCAAGUCGACGAUCAGUAGCCGGACUGAGAGGUUGAACGGGCCACAUUGGGACGGUGAGACGGACGCCCAG